ACUCCUACGGGAGGCAGCAGUGGGGAAUUUUGGACAAUGGGGGCGAACCCUGAUCCAGCAAUGCCGCGUGAGUGAAGAAGGCCCUCGGGUUGUAAAGCUCUUUUGUCAGGGAAGAAACGGUGAUCUCUAAUAUAGAUUGCUAAUGACGGUACCUGAAGAAUAAGCACCGGCUAACUACGUGCCAGCAGCCGCGGUAAUACGUAGGGGUGCAAGCGUUAAUCGGAAUUACUGGGCGUAAAGCGUGCGCAGGCGGUUUUGUAAGUCUGAUGUGAAAUCCACGGGGCUCAACCUGGGAACUGCAUUGGAGACUGCAAGGCUAGAGUGUGUCAGAGGGGGUAGAAUUCCACGUGUAGCAGUGAAAUGCGUAGAGAUGUGGAGGAAUACCGAUGGCGAAGGCAGCCCCCUGGGAUAACACUGACGCUAAUGCACGAAAGCGUGGGGAGCAAACAGGAUUAGAUACCCUGGUAGCGACUGA
Molecule: ribosomal RNA, 475 nt
Filed under: uncultured bacterium
Lineage: Bacteria
Description: bacterial SSU rRNA
Rfam family: Bacterial small subunit ribosomal RNA
Source: RNAcentral